Molecule: ribosomal RNA, 254 nt
Filed under: uncultured bacterium
Lineage: Bacteria
Description: partial 16S ribosomal RNA
Rfam family: Bacterial small subunit ribosomal RNA
Source: RNAcentral
UACGGGGGAUGCAAGCGUUAUCCGGAUUUAUUGGGUUUAAAGGGUGCGUAGGCUGUGAGGUAAGUCAGCGGUGAAAUGCCCCCGCUCAACGGGGUGAAGUGCCAUUGAUACUGCCUUGCUGGAAUGCGGAUGCCGUGGGAGGAAUGUGUGGUGUAGCGGUGAAAUGCAUAGAUAUCACACAGAACACCGAUUGCGAAGGCAUCUCACGAAUCCGCGAUUGACGCUGAUGCUCGAAAGCGUGGGUAUCAAACAGG